Molecule: ribosomal RNA, 480 nt
Filed under: uncultured bacterium
Lineage: Bacteria
Description: partial 16S ribosomal RNA
Rfam family: Bacterial small subunit ribosomal RNA
Source: RNAcentral
GACGAACGCUGGCGGCGUGCUUAACACAUGCAAGUCGAACGGAAAGGCCCAGCUUGCUGGGUGCUCGAGUGGCGAACGGGUGAGUAACACGUGGGUGAUCUGCCUCUAACUUCGGGAUAAGCUUGGGAAACUGGGUCUAAUACCGGAUAGGACAAUCGUUUAGUGUCGGUUGUGGAAAGUUUUUUCGGUUAGGGAUGAGCCCGCGGCCUAUCAGCUUGUUGGUGGGGUAAUGGCCUACCAAGGCGUCGACGGGUAGCCGGCCUGAGAGGGUGGACGGCCACAUUGGGACUGAGAUACGGCCCAGACUCCUACGGGAGGCAGCAGUGGGGAAUAUUGCACAAUGGGCGCAAGCCUGAUGCAGCGACGCCGCGUGGGGGAUGACGGCCUUCGGGUUGUAAACCUCUUUCAGCGGGGACGAAGCGAAAGUGACGGUACCCGCAGAAGAAGGACCGGCCAACUACGUGCCAGCAGCCGCCGUAA